This 512-nucleotide ribosomal RNA is filed under the name uncultured bacterium. RNAcentral's name for it is "partial 16S ribosomal RNA". It matches the Rfam family "Bacterial small subunit ribosomal RNA", at positions 28 to 523 of the family's 1533-position model. The record is from RNAcentral.
GACGAACGCUGGCGGCAUGCCUAAUACAUGCAAGUCGAGCGAACAGAUGAAGUGCUUGCACUUCUGACGUUAGCGGCGAACGGGUGAGUAACACGUAAGGAAUCUACCUAUAAGCGGGGGAUAACAUUCGGAAACGGGUGCUAAUACCGCAUAAUAUCCUCUUCCGCAUGAAGAAGAUUGAAAGACGGCUCUGCUGUCACUUAUAGAUGACCUUGCGGUGCAUUAGUUAGUUGGUGGGGUAACGGCCUACCAAGACGAUGAUGCAUAGCCGACCUGAGAGGGUGAUCGGCCACAUUGGGACUGAGACACGGCCCAAACUCCUACGGGAGGCAGCAGUAGGGAAUCUUCCGCAAUGGGCGAAAGCCUGACGGAGCAAUGCCGCGUGAGUGAAGAAGGCCUUCGGGUCGUAAAACUCUGUUAUAAGAGAAGAACAAAUUGUAGAGUAACUGCUACAGUCUUGACGGUAUCUUAUCAGAAAGCCACGGCUAACUACGUGCCAGCCGCCGCCGUAA